Molecule: ribosomal RNA, 270 nt
Filed under: uncultured bacterium
Lineage: Bacteria
Description: partial 16S ribosomal RNA
Rfam family: Bacterial small subunit ribosomal RNA
Source: RNAcentral
UUCGGAAUGAAACCAGAUAUGACUUAGUGGCGGACGGGUGAGUAACGCGUAGGCAACCUGCCUUUCAGAGGGGGAUAACGGCUGGAAACGGUCGCUAAUACCGCAUGACGUGUUCGGAUGGCAUCAUCUGAACAUCAAAGAUUUAUCGCUGAAAGAUGGGCUCGCGUCUGAUUAGAUAGUUGGUGGGGUAACGGCCUACCAAGUCUACGAUCAGUAGCCGGACUGAGAGGUCGAACGGCCACAUUGGGACUGAGACACGGUCCAAACUCC